GUGAACCUGCGGAAGGAUCAUUGUCGAA
This 28-nucleotide ribosomal RNA is filed under the name Tecomella undulata. RNAcentral describes it as "partial 18S ribosomal RNA". Lineage: Eukaryota; Viridiplantae; Streptophyta; Magnoliopsida; Lamiales; Bignoniaceae. The record is from RNAcentral.